RNAcentral lists this long non-coding RNA (1393 nucleotides) under Leguminivora glycinivorella. Its description in RNAcentral is "uncharacterized LOC125232440". The record is from RNAcentral. Lineage: Eukaryota; Metazoa; Arthropoda; Insecta; Lepidoptera; Tortricidae.
UUAAAACGCAGUAAGUCUAUAUGCAUUCCAUACAUACUUACUACAAUUUUCUUUUCAUUGAUAGACGAAGAUAUGAGUUUUUUUUUAAAGUAGUGACGAAUUAUUUAUGUCUCCUGAUUUUUAGGACACGUGUCUUCUGAUUUUAUUCAAAUUGGACCUGGCAACACUGAAAUAAUGUCAGAAUCUUUUCUUUGACAUUAUUUACAAUUUAUAUUAUUGUACAUAAUUGGUUUUUUCACUAUUCUUAAGCUAAAAAAAACACCUGUUUGUCCUCCAAAGAAUACCUUAUUGGAUUCACAGAAUGAUUGAGGAUUUGAGGGAAGCAUGUUAAGACUGUGACAAUAUGGUCUUAAGGCAGCCGGCCUCAUUGAGAACAAGAAAAUAUUCUGCUUCAUGUAGCGGUUGUUAUUUGUUAAUAUGACAUGUCUCGGCAGUGUAGUGACCCUGUGCUUAAUUAAGGCUUCAGGCUCAAAUCAUGGUAAACCAAAAUGUAAGCGGCCGGUUGAAAAAGUAGCAGAGUCGAAAAUGGAAAUUAAUGAGCUGCAGAAGUAAAUUUUAGAAGAAUAAUUCUCUUCUUUGUUGUAUCCUUGUGGCUGAGGGACAUGACGAAUGAGGCCAUUCUUUACCAGUGCUCUUCACGCCACUCAAUCCUGGGCCCGGUGCAUGCUAGCCUGCAGUGGUCUUUGUCAGAGAUGUUAUUGUGUCUGCCCAAUGUGUGCCCAUGCUGCCACUUCUUCACUUCCUUGCCGUGUCCUGUGAUUAUGGGAAUAAUAUGCAAAUAAAAACCAACAAUGGGCCAUCGAAGAACAGGAGAGGGCAUGUGGGCCUUAGAGAAAGAGUUGUUAAUGUGAAGACUAAAUAAAUUCAACAAAUAAAAUCUCAACUAUAAUACUGUCUUUGGUACACCCGCUACCAUCGCGUCAAAUAGUGAAAGUGCAGUUCAGUGUAAGCAAAGACAGUGUACAAGAUAUACCACUCACCUAUGGCAUUAGUGUUACUAGACCACAUUAAUACAUAAAGACUAUUUUUCUAAACUUGUCCAAAAAUUUUAUUAAAAAGGUGUCGGAACGCCUUCUCGGGGACCAAAUAGCGGGUUCCUUCUUUGCUCAGAGGUUGAGUCUGGCGGUGCAAAGGGGAAACGCCGCAAGCAUUCUUGGGUCUAUGCCGGAGGCAGGGGAUCUGAGGGGGUUUUUUAUAUUUAGUUAUAACCUGCUUGUGUUAGUUUUAGUCUUUAGGGUUUUAAGAUUUAAUUAUAAGAUUAAAUAUAUUGUUCGUAGUUGUUGUUGAAUAAGCAGUGUUUGUGUGUCUGACUAACGAAAAUAUAAAUUCAGAUUCUAAACGUCUAAACUUGUGUAUAGCUCUGUGUUGUCUUAAUAAAUCCUAUUGGAAACGC